Rhipicephalus microplus (southern cattle tick) is the source of this 3670-nucleotide long non-coding RNA. RefSeq lists it as uncharacterized. NCBI's taxonomy places the organism in Eukaryota, Metazoa, Arthropoda, Arachnida, Ixodida, Ixodidae. The record is from RefSeq and is a predicted model, not a curated record.
AGGUCAACUCCAACGAUUUUUUGAGGUCGAUGGAUCUCAAUGAAAUUCACUGGCCACACACUUGUUAACCUUUGUUCCCCAUUGCCUGGAUCAUCUGGCCUUUCCUCGCGCGGCCGUCCGGAUGAGUGUGUGUCGGGCCCAGCAACAUCCAGCCAUGAAAAAUAAACUUCCACAACACGUCACCGAGACCCAAAAAGAAAGGUCUCCUCACCAGAGACCGCAGCUGUCAUCAAGCGGCUAAAGAAUGAUGCGCAAAGGUAUCGGAAGUCAGCUACAAUAAAAAGCCGGCGAAAAAUUGCUAUAUAGAAAACACUCGAGAAGUUAAAGCAUCAUAUCCCUGAGCUGUGUAAACUCUUGGCUAGCCAAGUGGCACUCCAUUGUCGGAAGAGGAAGGGAAGGAGGUGGUCUCGAGAGUUGAAAAAAUUCGUCUUGAAUAUGUAUUUUCAUGAGCCAAGCUCCUACCCCAAUUCUCGGAAGGGCUGGCUUUGCCAUCACCAAGGUCGCUUCAAAGCUGGCUGUCUGAAAUUUCAAUGACUCUCGGAAUUAUUUCUAGUGUAUGGGGCAUUCUUAAGCAUGUAGCAAGACAUUGGCUACUAGAAGAUCGGACGUGCUUAAUUACAUUUGAUGAAUUGUCAGUGAGACCAAAUUUACAGUCUGACAUUAAACAUGAUGUAGUCAUUUGAUUUUCAGAUGAUGGCUCAGAGACGACAACAGUGGUGGCAAACGUAGCGUUUGUAGCACUCCUGGAAUCUCGCAAUUGUGGGUGAUGCCUGUGGUGUUCGCUGUUGCCAAAAUUGCUCUGCGUGGAAAAUCAAGACACUGAUACUGGCCUUGAUAGUGCAGCUUGCAGAAUGGGAGCUGUAUGCCAAAGCCGCGGUGUGCGAUCAGGGGUCAAGUAACAAUAAAUUAUUUAAUGAAUUGGCAGCCACACUGGAAAAUCCGUAUUUUGAAGUGAACGGGAAAAACGUUUCUUGCUUCUUCGAUACUUCACACCUAUUGAGGUGCACAAGAAGUAACUUUCAAGCCCCUCACAAGCUUUUCAUUGCCACAGAAAUAGUAGACUCGACCUACAAUUGUGAACAAUAAAAGUGCUCUCACCCACUUGAAGUGAAAUUGCCGAGAAUUUCAACAUUUAUUUAUAUCUGCUUGAGGCACAUGAAGGUCAAGUUCGUGGCGCAUGUCUUGAGCGAGUCUUUGCCAAUAGCAAUGUCCGUCAAUAUUGCUCUUGGUAAGCUACCUGCAACCGUCAAAUCUACUGCAGAUUUUAUAGAACAGAUGGACAAGCUAUUUGACUGCCUCAAAUGCAAAAUUGCCACCACCUGUUUUCCCGGUAAAAUGAAUUAUGCUCUUAGUGCCACCUCCGAGCACCUGGCUUUUUUACGAGAGGCAAUCCAACGAAUAUCGGGUUGGAGAUUUGACAACCCUAGGCAGCCGCACACUAUUCGUGGCUGGCUAUAGUCACCAUACAGGCUGUCCUUACGCUGGGUAAAGACCUCCAUAAAAUUUUAACUUCACUUGCCUCCUGACUCGUCGCCUCCAGCAAGACUCGCUGGAGAAUAUAUUCGGCACUUUGAGGCAGAAGCAUGGCUGCGAUGAGCAUUCAAACGUGUUUCAAUUUAUCGCUGCGUUGAAACACGUUUUCGUUGGGAAACUGUCAAACCUGUCAUAGCGCGAGAAUUGCGAAAUUGUGGAUUCGUACCUACUUGCACGUCUCUCCUUAGGCGAGCCUCGAGCUGAACAGGCUGUGAUAACAGAAACGUUUUUCCCAAGCGAGACCUCAGGUGACGACCUCCUUGACAUCACGGAAAAGAAUGCUUUGUACUUCUUUGUCGGCGGCAUCACGCAGCCAUUCCUUAAAAACAGGUCAGCGGAUUGUAUAUGGGAGCCAUUCAGGAGUGGUGAUCGGGCAUUCUCAGGUUCCCAUCAAACUUUAGCCAUGCUAGUGUCUCGUAGUAAGGAAGGCGGACUUUUUGCUAGUUCGACACUGCCUUCUGUUGUUUUUUCGAGGUAGUGAAAGACAUGGAGAAAUGUUUUGUAGAACACAUAGGUGUGGUCGCACAUUUGUGCUGCAUUAGUAUACUGUGCUGAAAGAUAGGCUAAACAGUGGUCUUCCCAAAGAAAUAUUUUGCUCUGAAAACUGUCGCUUGGACCUGCUGCGGCAAUUUCGCAAUGCACGGCUCAUGCUGCAGGCCCUCAAAAAACGGCGUGACAGAAAGUCCGCUGCAAAAAGAAAGCUCCAGAAGCUUCAAAGUUAUACAAAAUUGUCUUACUAAGAACCUAUUUCCGAAAGUGCAGUGGGCAUUAAAUGAAUGCGCAUUUCUUUGGGCAUUCUCUUGAAUAGGCUAUUUUUACAAGACACUUUAGCGCAUUCUUAUGUCUGCGCAAACAGCGUACAAGGUAUUGUCUUUUUGCAGAAAUUCACAGCUCACACUGUUGUGCCAUAAUUCACUGCUGCGAUACGCGAAUUUUGAGAUCUUGUCCUUGAUGAUGUGAUGUUGCACAAGCACUAAUACUAGUCAGCAUUCUUGCCACGAACAUUUUCAUUUGAAUGUCAAAUUAGGAAGGAGCUCGUUCUAGAAAAGCCAAAAAUAUUUUGCUAAGUCAAGAAAAUAUGCCGUGCCAAAAGCAAGUGCACCAGAAAAGCUUGGGGCUUCCGCCGGUUUGUUAAGGCAUCUUCAAAAGUCAAAUACAAACUAACUCCAGUCUUAUACAAAAUUAAUUGCAGAGCUCAGGUUUGUCCUACGCAUCCAACAAGAUGCACGAAGCUGAGCUUAUAAGCUCUAUUAAAGAAAAUACUUGAUAUUAUUAAGGGAUAUUUCAGGAGUGUCAUAAAAACCAGUCAGAAACACUAGCUCUCAGCUAUCUACCCAGGCUGAUUCAUUAUAUGCAGUUGAUCUGAAUUACUUUUGUUAACGUUUUUCCACACCCAGAAGGUGUCCGUUCUCUGAUACCUUUGCACAUCAAUGUGUCCUGGUCCAAUUUCCGCAAGUGAUUAACCAUCUGCACUUGCCUAUAUUGAAUUUACUCUUUUUCUGUCUGCUAGGUGACAUUUGAUGUUUGAUGUAGGAUUGUGAUACUCAUGCCUAACUGCAAUAAAAAUAUGUGCAUAACAAAUUACGAUGAAUAACUACAGUAUUUCUAGUGUAAAAAUCUGUACUGAUACCUUUUUAGCAAUGCUACAGCUUUGAACGACGGUUUACGCGAUGUGUAGAAAAAUAAAGCCACAUGUUAAAAUGUAAAUAAAAUUUGCUUUGUCAGUAACGGUACAAGGAAAAGCUGAGUUACAUAGUCAAUUCGCUUGCUAUAGAAGGUUAUUUUGUCUAGCAAGUUUGAUAGAAAACACAAAAAGAAACUGGUAGUGUUGGGAUCAGUCUGUUGGUCUUUUGCACUGCAUGAUAAGUGCAUUGUUCACGAAUGUGAACAUGUUCUUAUGAACCAUCCUUUCUGGAGAAUCGUGUAAUGUACAGCCAGUGAACGUGAUGACCCUUGUAGCGAUAUUCUACACACAAUGAACCGUGUGAAUACUUCUCUUACAGUUCAUGUUACCAAUGCAGAAUGGGAACAUUUGUAUUUACUGCAUGAGAUAAACAUCUCUGGGCUAUUGUUGCGUGUAGUUUUAUCGUUUGAAAUACGUUGCUAAUAAAAUGAGUGAAUUAACCACUCUUUCCAA